RNAcentral lists this ribosomal RNA (854 nucleotides) under Cadophora malorum. Its description in RNAcentral is "eukaryotic LSU rRNA". It matches the Rfam family "Eukaryotic large subunit ribosomal RNA", at positions 66 to 938 of the family's 3401-position model. Lineage: Eukaryota; Fungi; Ascomycota; Leotiomycetes; Helotiales; Ploettnerulaceae. The record is from RNAcentral.
CAACAGGGAUUACCUCAGUAACGGCGAGUGAAGCGGUAACAGCUCAAAUUUGAAAGCUAGCUCUUUUAGGGUUCGCAUUGUAAUUUGUAGAAGAUGCUUCGGGUGUGGCCCCGGUCUAAGUUCCUUGGAACAGGACGUCAUAGAGGGUGAGAAUCCCGUAUGUGACUGGGUGCUUUCGCUCAUGUGAAGCUCUUUCGACGAGUCGAGUUGUUUGGGAAUGCAGCUCAAAAUGGGUGGUAAAUUUCAUCUAAAGCUAAAUAUUGGCCAGAGACCGAUAGCGCACAAGUAGAGUGAUCGAAAGAUGAAAAGCACUUUGGAAAGAGAGUUAAACAGUACGUGAAAUUGUUGAAAGGGAAGCGCUUGCAACCAGACUUGCGCGCUGAUGAUCAUCCGGGCUUCUGCCCGGUGCACUCGUCUGCGCUCAGGCCAGCAUCGGUUUCGGUGGUGGGAUAAAGGCCUUGGGAAUGUAGCUCCUCUCGGGGAGUGUUAUAGCCCUCGGUGCAAUGCCGCCUACCGGGACCGAGGACCGCGCUUCGGCUAGGAUGCUGGCGUAAUGGUUGUAAGCGACCCGUCUUGAAACACGGACCAAGGAGUCUAACAUCUAUGCGAGUGUUUGGGUGUCAAACCCAUACGCGUAAUGAAAGUGAACGGAGGUGAGAACCCUUAAGGGUGCAUCAUCGACCGAUCCUGAUGUCUUCGGAUGGAUUUGAGUAAGAGCAUAGCUGUUGGGACCCGAAAGAUGGUGAACUAUGCGUGAAUAGGGUGAAGCCAGAGGAAACUCUGGUGGAGGCUCGCAGCGGUUCUGACGUGCAAAUCGAUCGUCAAAUUUGCGUAUAGGGCGAAAGACUAAUCGA